UACGGGGGGUGCAAGCGUUGUUCGGAUUUACUGGGCGUAAAGGGCGGGUAGGCGGCCACCGCAAGUCGACUGUGAAAUCUCCGGGCUUAACCCGGAAAGGUCAGCCGAUACUGCGGGGCUAGAGUGCAGAAGGGGCAACUGGAAUUCUCGGUGUAGCGGUGAAAUGCGUAGAUAUCGAGAGGAACACCUGCGGCGAAGGCGGGUUGCUGGGCUGACACUGACGCUGAUGCGCGAAAGCUAGGGGAGCGAACGGG
Molecule: ribosomal RNA, 254 nt
Filed under: uncultured bacterium
Lineage: Bacteria
Description: partial 16S ribosomal RNA
Rfam family: Bacterial small subunit ribosomal RNA
Source: RNAcentral